ACGCAUUUUAUUUUGGCGGGUCAAGCAGAACACUUUAAGUUCCGGGUCGGGGGUGGACUCGGGUCCUCUUCAUGACGGUUGCUGCUGUCGCUGUGGCUGGCUGCGUGUGUUGGCGUUUUCCUGAAUCGCUGCAAGAACAUUGCUAAAUGGACUCAGAUUAACACAGCCGAAGCACCACAUUGGUUGUUAUGACAACCACUGGACGGUCAAGUUCCCCCCCCCCUGUUUCCACGUCAGGAUGGCGAGCUACAACCGGAUCACCGCAGCUUUGCGGUAGGAUGUAACUGAACUGAACUACCUCAUUUUUCCCGGACCUUUAUUAUUUAUUUUCUUUCCCUCCUCCCUCCUUUUGCUUCCCUUGGAUUAUGGACUAAAACCAGUUGGACUAUUGUUUGGUGAAUCAUUAAUCACCUUACCAAUAAAAAGCACGGACUUGAAUGAGAAAGAAAAACUCUUGGGUGUCAUCAGGGUUUAUUUAUUUGUUUGUUAUUGUUGUUUUUCUUGUUUAUAUUUAUAAGAAAAUAUUAUUAUUAUUAUUAUUAUUAUUCAAUACCUUCCUAAA
Xiphophorus couchianus (Monterrey platyfish) is the source of this 562-nucleotide long non-coding RNA. RefSeq lists it as uncharacterized. The transcript has 2 exons. The record is from RefSeq and is a predicted model, not a curated record. Lineage: Eukaryota; Metazoa; Chordata; Actinopteri; Cyprinodontiformes; Poeciliidae.